This 1819-nucleotide ribosomal RNA is filed under the name soil metagenome. Its description in RNAcentral is "bacterial LSU rRNA". It matches the Rfam family "Bacterial large subunit ribosomal RNA", at positions 1093 to 2925 of the family's 2925-position model. The record is from RNAcentral.
CCAGGAGGUUGGCUUAGAAGCAGCCAUCCUUUAAAGAAAGCGUAAUAGCUCACUGGUCAAGCAGCCCUGCGCCGACAAUAUAACGGGGCUUAAACCACGUACCGAAGUUUCGGAUUCAUGUAGCAAUACAUGGAUGGUAGGCGAGCAUUCCGUAGCUGUGAAGCGGUACCGAAAGGGCCGUUGGAGCGAUCGGAAAAGACUCUGUCGGCAUAAGUAGCGAUAACGCGGGUGAGAACCCCGCGCGCCGUAAACCUAAGGUUUCCUGAGUAAAGUUAAUCUGCUCAGGGUUAGUCGGUACCUAAGGCGAGGCCGAAAGGCGUAGUCGAUGGAAAUCCGGUUAAUAUUCCGGAACCACUAACGUGUGCUGUGGGAGGACGCAGUAGGGUAGGCGAGACGGCCGAUGGAUGUGCCGUUGAACUCACCAUAGCCCGCCGCUUUGGCAAAUCCGGGCGGCAUCAGGGUAAAGGUAGGGACGAAAGUAGGGGUAAAACCCGAAAAAAGUCGCUGACCCCAGCUGCCAAGAAAAUUCUCGUUCAGCUAUACACGCGACGUGACCGUACCGCAAACCGACACAGGUAGGUGGGGUGAGAAUCCUAAGGCGCUUGUGAGAACUCUCGUUCAGGAACUCGGCAAACUAGCCCCGUAACUUCGGGAAAAGGGGUGCCAUCCUCCGGGAUGGUCGCAGAGAAAUGUCCCAGGCGACUGUUUACUAAAAACACAGGUCUCCGCAAAGUCGUGAAGACGACGUAUGGGGGCUGACGCCUGCCCAAUGCUGGAAGGUUAAGAGGAGUGGUCAGCCGCAAGGUGAAGCUACGAAUCGAAGCCCCAGUGAAUGGCGGCCGUAACUAUAACGGUCCUAAGGUAGCGAAAUUCCUUGUCGGGUAAGUUCCGACCUGCACGAAUGGCGUAACGAUCUGGGAGCUGUCUUAACGAGAGGCACAGCGAACUUGUAGUACCGGUGAAGAUGCCGGUUUCCCGCAUCUAGACGGAAAGACCCCGUGCACCUUGACUACAACUUGAUAGUGGGUUCGGGCAAACGAUGCGCAGGAUAGGUGGGAGGCUAUGAACCGAGGCUUUCGGGCUUCGGGGAGCCAACGGUGAGAUACCACCCUUCGUUUGUCUGGACUCUAACCUAGAGCCGUAAUCCGGUUCAGGGACACUAUCAGGCGGGUAGUUUGACUGGGGCGGUCGCCUCCCAAAUUGUAACGGAGGCGCUCGAAGGUUGGCUCAGGCUGUUUGGAAAUCAGCCGUAGAGUGUAAACGCAUAAGCCAGCUUGACUGUGAGACAAACAAGUCGAACAGGUACGAAAGUAGGAGUUAGUGAUCCGGCGGUUCUGUAUGGAAGGGCCGUCGCUCAACGGAUAAAAGGUACGCCGGGGAUAACAGGCUGAUCCUGCCCAAGAGUUCACAUCGACGGCAGGGUUUGGCACCUCGAUGUCGGCUCAUCGCAUCCUGGGGCUGAAGAAGGUCCCAAGGGUUUGGCUGUUCGCCAAUUAAAGCGGUACGUGAGCUGGGUUUAGAACGUCGCGAGACAGUUCGGUCCCUAUCUGGUGUGGGCGGAGCAGGUUUGAGGGAAUCUGUCCUUAGUACGAGAGGACCGGGAUGGAUCCACCUCUAGUGUACGAGUUAUGGCGCCAGCCGUAGCGCUCGGUAGCUAAGUGGAGCAUGGAUAAACGCUGAAUGCAUCUAAGCGUGAAGCCAGACCCAAGAUUAGACCUGCCAGUGAGACUCCUUGUAGACCACGAGGUAAUAGGGUGGAUAUGUAAGCGCAGUAAUGCGUUCAGUUGACCACUACUAAUCAGUCCCAUGGCUUGACCAU